GAUGAACGCUAGCUACAGGCUUAACACAUGCAAGUCGAGGGGUAGCAGGGUAGCAAUACCGCUGACGACCGGCGCACGGGUGAGUAACACGUACCCAACCUUCCCAUAACUCGGGGAUAGCCUUUCGAAAGAAAGAUUAAUACCGGAUGGUACUUUUUCAAGGCAUCUUGAGAAAGUUAAAGAUUUAUUGGUUAUGGAUGGGGAUGCGUUCCAUUAGAUAGUUGGUGAGGUAACGGCUCACCAAGUCUUCGAUGGAUAGGGGUUCUGAGAGGAAGGUCCCCCACAUUGGUACGGAGACACCGACCAAACUGCUACGGGAGGCAGCAGUGAGGAAUAUUGGUCAAUGGGCGAGAGCCUGAACCAGCCAAGUAGCGUGAAGGAUGAAGGUCCUAUGGAUUGUAAACUUCUUUUAUAGUAGAAUAAAGUGAUCCACGUGUGGAUUUUUGUAUGUAUACUAUGAAUAAGGAUCGGCUAACUCCGUGCCAGCAGCCGCCGCAG
RNAcentral lists this ribosomal RNA (498 nucleotides) under uncultured bacterium. RNAcentral's name for it is "partial 16S ribosomal RNA". It matches the Rfam family "Bacterial small subunit ribosomal RNA", at positions 28 to 523 of the family's 1533-position model. The record is from RNAcentral.